This 330-nucleotide ribosomal RNA is filed under the name Triticum aestivum (bread wheat). RNAcentral describes it as "partial small subunit ribosomal RNA". The record is from RNAcentral. Lineage: Eukaryota; Viridiplantae; Streptophyta; Magnoliopsida; Poales; Poaceae.
AUGUAUCCAGUUUGUAUGGGUGUUUUUGAUUCUGAAACAAAUGAGAAUUGGAUCUGGUUCAUGCAAAUGGUUAGACAAGCCAUAGGAUCCCCAAGGGGUUUAACCAUAUGCACCGAUGCUGGGCAACCAGUGAUGACAUGUGUAAAAGAAGUGUUCCCAGAGGCUGAACAUAGGGAAUGUAUGUUUCACUUGGUGUCCAACUUCAAGAAGAAGUUUCAUGGAAAGGUGUUUGAUGACCACCUUUGGGUUGCUGUUUACUCAUGGAACCCAUAUAUAUUUGAAAAAAAUUGGGUUGCAAUGGACAUAGCAAAGCCAGCGGCAACUGCAUAA